GAUGAACGCUGGCGGCGUGCAUAACACAUUCAAGUCGAACGGAAUGUAGCAAUACAUUUAGUGGCGGACGGGUGAGUAACGCGUGAGUAACCUGCCUUCAAGUGGGGAACAACAGUUGGAAACGACUGCUAAUACCGACAUAACGCAACCGAAUCGCAUGUUUUGGUUGUCAAAGGGCUGCAAGGCUUGCUUGAAGAUGGACUCGCGUCCGAUUAGGUAGUUGGUGAGGCAACGGCUCACCAAGCCGACGAUCGGUAGCCGGACUGAGAGGUUGAACGGCCACAUUGGAACUGAGAUACGGUCCAG
This 306-nucleotide ribosomal RNA is filed under the name uncultured bacterium. Its description in RNAcentral is "bacterial SSU rRNA". It matches the Rfam family "Bacterial small subunit ribosomal RNA", at positions 28 to 334 of the family's 1533-position model. The record is from RNAcentral.